UACGUAGGGUGCAAGCGUUAAUCGGAAUUACUGGGCGUAAAGGGUGCGUAGGUGGCGCGCUAAGUCAGGUGUGAAAUUUCGGAGCUUAACUCCGAAACUGCAUUUGAUACUGGCGUGCUUGAGGACUGGAGAGGAGACUGGAAUUCAUGGUGUAGCAGUGAAAUGCGUAGAGAUCAUGAGGAAGACCAGUGGCGAAGGCGGGUCUCUGGACAGUUCCUGACACUGAGGCACGAAGGCCAGGGGAGCAAACGGG
This 253-nucleotide ribosomal RNA is filed under the name uncultured bacterium. RNAcentral describes it as "partial 16S ribosomal RNA". It matches the Rfam family "Bacterial small subunit ribosomal RNA", at positions 524 to 776 of the family's 1533-position model. The record is from RNAcentral.